Transfer RNA from Leucoagaricus sp. SymC.cos, 88 nucleotides. It matches the Rfam family "tRNA". From Rfam's summary of the family: Transfer RNA (tRNA) molecules are approximately 80 nucleotides in length. Their secondary structure includes four short double-helical elements and three loops (D, anti-codon, and T loops). Further hydrogen bonds mediate the characteristic L-shaped molecular structure. tRNAs have two regions of fundamental functional importance: the anti-codon, which is responsible for specific mRNA codon recognition, and the 3' end, to which the tRNAs corresponding amino acid is attached (by aminoacyl-tRNA synthetases). tRNAs cope with the degeneracy of the genetic code in two manners: having more than one tRNA (with a specific anti-codon) for a particular amino acid; and 'wobble' base-pairing, i.e. permitting non-standard base-pairing at the 3rd anti-codon position. The record is from Rfam. Lineage: Eukaryota; Fungi; Basidiomycota; Agaricomycetes; Agaricales; Agaricaceae.
GGGUACUUGGUCGAGUCUGGUUUAUGGCGCUCGUCUUGAAAACGAGUACUUCCUAAAGAAGUCGUGAGUUCGAAUCUCACAGUGCCCG